CCUUCAUUCCAAUCACUGAAAUUCUUCACACAGAAUUGCCAUUCACAUUACAGUGUUUCACACAAACACAGACUCAUUCUCUCUGCUGAACUACAAUCAGAUUUCAGCAUUCAAUCUUUCUUCUUCUGAAAUAGUACCAAUCACAUUUCCAUUCUAUAAUUCACUUCACAAUAUUCAAAAACUCUCAAUCCUCUUAUUCAAAGAAAAUAACAAACAAAAGAAAAGAGGUAGCACCAAGCUUAUCCCGGCUCACACUA
This 257-nucleotide long non-coding RNA is filed under the name Physcomitrium patens. Its description in RNAcentral is "long non-coding RNA (PPAT_LNC012160)". The record is from RNAcentral. Lineage: Eukaryota; Viridiplantae; Streptophyta; Bryopsida; Funariales; Funariaceae.